UCAGUCGACUCCUACGGGGAGGCAGCAGUGGGGAAUAUUGCACAAUGGGGGAAACCCUGAUGCAGCCAUGCCGCGUGUGUGAAGAAGGACCUUCGGGUUGUAAAGCACUUUGAGUAGGGAGGAAGGUAGUGUAGUUAACACCUGCAUUAUUUGACGUUACCUACAGAAGAAGCACCGGCUAACUCCGUGCCAGCAGCCGCGGUAAUACGGAGGGUGCGAGCGUUAAUCGGAAUUACUGGGCGUAAAGCGCAUGCAGGCGGCCUGUUAAGUCAGAUGUGAAAGACCCGGGGCUUAACCUCGGAAUUGCAUUUGAAACUGGCAGGCUAGAGUCUUGUAGAGGGGGGUAGGAAUUUCAGGUGUAGCGGUGAAAUGCGUAGAGAUCUGAAGGAAUACCAGUGGCGAAGGCGGCCCCCUGGACAAAGACUGACGCUCAGAUGCGAAAGCGUGGGGAGCAAACAGGAUUAGAUACCCUGGUAG
Molecule: ribosomal RNA, 477 nt
Filed under: uncultured bacterium
Lineage: Bacteria
Description: bacterial SSU rRNA
Rfam family: Bacterial small subunit ribosomal RNA
Source: RNAcentral